AGAGCGAACGCUGGCGGCAGGCUUAACACAUGCAAGUCGAACGCGUGUAGCAAUACACGAGUGGCGCACGGGUGAGUAACGCGUGGGCAUCUGCCUCAUGGUUCGGAAUAACCCCGGGAAACUGGGGCUAAUACCGGAUGGUACCUUCGGGUUAAAGAUUUAUCGCCAUGAGAUGAGCCCGCGUCCGAUUAGCUAGUUGGUGAGGUAACGGCUCACCAAGGCGACGAUCGGUAGCUGGUCUGAGAGGACGAUCAGCCACACUGGGAUUGAGAACGGCCCAGACUCCUACGGGGGGCAGCAGUGAGGAAUUUUCCGCAAUGGAGGCAACUCUGACGGAGCAACGCCGCGUGCAGGAGGAAGGUUUUCGGAUCGUAAACUGCUUUUCUCGGGGACGAGCAAGGACGGUACCCGAGGAAGAAGCCCCGGCUAACUACGUGCCAGCAGCCGC
RNAcentral lists this ribosomal RNA (448 nucleotides) under uncultured bacterium. RNAcentral describes it as "SSU rRNA". It matches the Rfam family "Bacterial small subunit ribosomal RNA", at positions 26 to 518 of the family's 1533-position model. The record is from RNAcentral.